This 504-nucleotide long non-coding RNA is filed under the name Pan troglodytes (chimpanzee). Its description in RNAcentral is "long non-coding RNA NONPTRT015740". The record is from RNAcentral. Lineage: Eukaryota; Metazoa; Chordata; Mammalia; Primates; Hominidae.
GGAGAUGAUGGGGUGGGGUGGGGGAUUGACAGCUGUGGCUCUCUUUGAGAUCAUCAAAGUGGAUUUUGUUGAGAUCAUCAAAAUGGAUUUUGUUGAUGUUUGGCACAACUCUGUAAGUAAAUUAUUGUUAAACCUCCAUUUGUUUCCUAUUACUGCCUUGAGAGUGAUGAAAGUUAUUUAUUAAAUGACCUUGUACUGAAUACCCACUCUGUGUCAGAACUUGUACCAGAUACUGGAGACUGGAGAUGCAAAGUGAGAAAGGCUUAGUUUCGCACUCAGAAAAGUUCCACAUCUCGUGGGGAAAUAAUUACAGUAGGUAACAUGACCUGUUCACAUCUCAACAGCCUCAAAUUUUUAUUGUUUUAGCAAUAUAGUAGAUAGUAAGGAGUGAAACGAUAUAAAUCAGAUGGAAAGGGAAUUGGUAUGGACUGAAUUGUUUCUCCCUUCAAAAUUCGUAUAUUGAAGCCCCAGUCUCCAAUGUGACUGUAUUUAUGGAUAAGGCCU